GGAGUAAACGGAGGCCUCCGGCAGACGCUGUGAAGAGAGGAGCCGCGGCGGUCAGUACCUUCGAGGAAAUGAAGGAACCAGAUGAUCAGGAUACUGAUGGGGAGAAAUCAGUUACAUCAAAGAGUGAUGGGAAGAAGUCUCUGAGGUCUUCUAAAUCAGAAUCAAGAUUACCUCAGCAAACCCCUGCCCCAGCUGUGGAAGAAGCAGAGGAGGAAGUUAAGAAGAAAAUAUCAGAGAGCUUCUUCUAUGAUUAUAUGGAGCUUGCUUCGAUGCCUUUUGUGACUCUGGAUUCAAACAUACCACUGGAUCUUCUCACACUUGUGUAUCCACCCUGGCUAAAUAUGUAUAAUUUUGGGAUUUUCAUUUCUUAGGUCAGAGGUCAGAAAACUAUAGCCCAGGGAGCCCAAAUGUGCCUUCCCACCUGUUUUGGUAAAUCAAGUUUUAUUGCAACACAGCCACAUCCA
This 464-nucleotide small RNA is filed under the name Pan troglodytes (chimpanzee). Its description in RNAcentral is "retained intron". Lineage: Eukaryota; Metazoa; Chordata; Mammalia; Primates; Hominidae. The record is from RNAcentral.